AGCGAACGCUGGCGGCAGGCCUAACACAUGCAAGUCGAACGAACCUUUCGGGGAUAGUGGCGGACGGGUGAGUAACACGUGGGAACGUGCCUUUAGGUUCGGAAUAACUCAGGGAAACUUGUGCUAAUACCGAAUGUGCCCUUCGGGGGAAAGAUUAAUCGCCUUUAGAGCGGCCCGCGUCUGAUUAGCUAGUUGGUUGAGGUAAUGGCUCACCAAGGCGACGAUCAGUAGCUGGUCUGAGAGGAUGAUCAGCCACAUUGGGACUGAGACACGGCCCAAACUCCUACGGGAGGCAGCAGUGGGGAAUCUUGCGCAAUGGGCGAAAGCCUGACGCAGCCAUGCCGCGUGAAUGAUGAAGGUCUUAGGAUUGUAAAAUUCUUUCACCGGGGACGAUAAUGACGGUACCCGGAGAAGAAGCCCCGGCUAACUUCGUG
RNAcentral lists this ribosomal RNA (434 nucleotides) under uncultured bacterium. RNAcentral's name for it is "partial 16S ribosomal RNA". It matches the Rfam family "Bacterial small subunit ribosomal RNA", at positions 29 to 507 of the family's 1533-position model. The record is from RNAcentral.